GAUGAACGCUGGCGGCGUGCCUAAUACAUGCAAGUCGAGCGAACAGACGAGGAGCUUGCUCCUCUGACGUUAGCGGCGGACGGGUGAGUAGCACGUGGAUAACCUACCUAUAAGACUGGGAUAACUUCGGGAAACCGGAGCUAAUACCGGAUAAUAUAUUGAACCGCAUGGUUCAAUAGUGAAAGACGGUUUUGCUGUCACUUAUAGAUGGAUCCGCGCCGCAUUAGCUAGUUGGUAAGGUAACGGCUUACCAAGGCAACGAUGCGUAGCCGACCUGAGAGGGUGAUCGGCCACACUGGAACUGAGACACGGUCCAGACUCCUACGGGAGGCAGCAGUAGGGAAUCUUCCGCAAUGGGCGAAAGCUUGACGGAGCAACGCCGCGUGAGUGAUGAAGGUCUUCGGAUCGUAAAACUCUGUUAUUAGGGAAGAACAAAUGUGUAAGUAACUAUGCACGUCUUGACGGUACCUAAUCAGAAAGCCACGGCUAACUACGU
This 496-nucleotide ribosomal RNA is filed under the name uncultured bacterium. RNAcentral describes it as "partial 16S ribosomal RNA". It matches the Rfam family "Bacterial small subunit ribosomal RNA", at positions 28 to 506 of the family's 1533-position model. The record is from RNAcentral.